GUGGGGAAUAUUGGACAAUGGGCGAAAGCCUGAUCCAGCCAUGCCGCGUGUGUGAAGAAGGUCUUCGGAUUGUAAAGCACUUUAAGUUGGGAGGAAGGGCAGUAAGUUAAUACCUUGCUGUUUUGACGUUACCGACAGAAUAAGCACCGGCUAACUUCGUGCCAGCAGCCGCGGUAAUACGAAGGGUGCAAGCGUUAAUCGGAAUUACUGGGCGUAAAGCGCGCGUAGGUGGUUUUGUAAGUUGGAGGUGAAAUCCCCGGGCUCAACCUGGGAACUGACUCCAAACAUACUGAGCUAGAGUACGGUAGAGGGUAGUGGAAUUUCCUGUGUAGCGGUGAAAUGCGUAGAUAUAGGAAGGAACACCAGUGGCGAAGGCGACUACCUGGACUGAUACUGACACUGAGGUGCGAAAGCGUGGGGAGCAAACAGGAUUAGAUACCCGGGUAGUCC
Molecule: ribosomal RNA, 450 nt
Filed under: uncultured bacterium
Lineage: Bacteria
Description: bacterial SSU rRNA
Rfam family: Bacterial small subunit ribosomal RNA
Source: RNAcentral